Molecule: unclassified non-coding RNA, 375 nt
Filed under: soil metagenome
Description: partial contains 5.8S ribosomal RNA, internal transcribed spacer 2, and large subunit ribosomal RNA
Rfam family: 5.8S ribosomal RNA (bases 1-120)
Source: RNAcentral
GAUGAAGAACGCGGCGAAAUGCGAUAAGUAAUGUGAAUUGCAGAAUUCAGUGAAUCAUCGAAUCUUUGAACGCAUCUUGCGCUCCUUGGUAUUCUGAGGAGCAUGCCUGUUUGAGUGUCAUUAAAUUCUCAACUACACUGACUUUGAAUUGGUGUGGCUUGGAUUUGGGGGGAAAAUUGUUGUGGGCUUUUUGUAUAGUCUGCUCCCCUGAAAUUGAUUAGCGGUACCUUUGUGGAACUGUCUACAGGUGUGAUAAUUAUCUACAUCUUAGACAUCUGCUGGAAUGCUGCUUUCUAAACCUUACUUGUAUUGACAAUCUUGACCUCAAAUCAGGUAGGACUACCCGCUGAACUUAAGCAUAUCAAUAAGCGGAGG